Molecule: long non-coding RNA, 781 nt
Filed under: Gallus gallus (chicken)
Lineage: Eukaryota; Metazoa; Chordata; Aves; Galliformes; Phasianidae
Source: RNAcentral
CUCCUUGCAUGACAUUUCUCAGAUCUGAACAAGACAUUGGAACAAGUAAAGCAUGACUAUCACUUCAGCUUCUGUUUAUCUCCUCCUCAUUGGACCUUCCUGUGGACUUACCAGAACUCUAUCAAACAGUAUCACAAUAUCUACCUUUGCAUCCGGUAAAAGUGGGGGUCACAUUAAGACUGGCUGAAAUUCCAGCUUAUGAAAUAUACUGAGGUUUCAGAGCCUGUUCCAACAUGAACAAAACCAAUAUCAUCUGUAUUACAUGCAUGAAGAAACCAAACCUAUUCCAGGAGACCAAUAGGAAUUUUUUCUGUAACCUACAGAUUAGUAGCUCACCUUGGGAAAAAAGAGAGCCAUACUCAGCUCCCCUCAGAGAAUCAGGCAUUUGAAUUUGAGCUUAGCUCCUUCCAGAUGGACAGCAACUUCAGAGCCAUGCAAUGCAACAGCUAUGGAGGAAUCAAGUAAGCUCAUAAAGUGUUGGCUCACACAAGUCAGGGGAAGCAGGAGCUAAGGUUCGAGUAGUCUGCUGCUCCCUGAGGCAGUUCCUCCGAAGACACAAGAGAUGCAGCAGCCUUCCAACAAACAACAAGCACCUGGAUUUGGCCUCAGAACAAGCACUUCAGAUUUGGCCAGCCUGUACACUCAACUGUUAAAACAGCAUCAAAACCCCACGCAUCACUGGAUGAAAUCUUAUCGAUUUUUGUAUGAUUUUUUAUGGUUACAAAGAUAAGCAUUUGGCUCUGCCUUUCUACUAUUCAGUAUCUAAAAAGUUAUAUUCCUG